UACAGAGGGGGCCAGCGUUAUUCGGAAUUACUGGGCGUAAAGGGCUCGUAGGCGGCCAACUAAGUCAGACGUGAAAUCCCUCGGCUUAACCGGGGAACUGCGUCUGAUACUGGAUGGCUUGAGAUUGGGAGAGGGAUGCGGAAUUCCAGGUGUAGCGGUGAAAUGCGUAGAUAUCUGGAGGAACACCGGUGGCGAAGGCGGCAUCCUGGACCAACACUGACGCUGAGGAGCGAAAGCCAGGGGAGCAAACGGG
RNAcentral lists this ribosomal RNA (253 nucleotides) under uncultured bacterium. RNAcentral's name for it is "partial 16S ribosomal RNA". It matches the Rfam family "Bacterial small subunit ribosomal RNA", at positions 524 to 776 of the family's 1533-position model. The record is from RNAcentral.